Long non-coding RNA from Herpailurus yagouaroundi (jaguarundi), 375 nucleotides. RefSeq lists it as uncharacterized. The transcript has 2 exons. Lineage: Eukaryota; Metazoa; Chordata; Mammalia; Carnivora; Felidae. The record is from RefSeq and is a predicted model, not a curated record.
GACGGAAUUCCUUAGCUAGAGAGUGGGCUGACCAGGAGGAGACCCAGCUCAGAACGGAGUUCCUUCAACCUUUUCACCCAAGUAAAGAUGGAGGAGGAUGGACAAGUCCUCCAAGCAUGUCAUGGCCCAAAACCUCUCUUAAACACUCCACCUGCCGUUUCCAAGAAAUAUUCUGUUCUCUGAGAUUGCUGGAGCCCAGACCAUCAUCAAUGAUGCAAACCUGAAGUCAGAGCUAAGAAGGGCCCCGAUACACACACCAGUAGUGGUCUGUAAGACUCUCACCGGCUUGUUCUCACCGGCUUGAUCAAAACCCACUGCUUAUUACUGGCUCUUUUAUUUGUCUACGUUUGUAUGAAUACAGUUUGUUAAACUGUA